Regulatory RNA element from Beauveria bassiana D1-5, 98 nucleotides. It matches the Rfam family "Tryptophan operon leader". Rfam says of the family: At least 6 amino acid operons are known to be regulated by attenuation. In each a leader sequence of 150-200 bp is found upstream of the first gene in the operon. Lineage: Eukaryota; Fungi; Ascomycota; Sordariomycetes; Hypocreales; Cordycipitaceae. The record is from Rfam.
CACGGUUGGUGGCGUACUCCCUGAACUCGGGCGGUGCGAUCGCGUACGCUGUUUAACAGCGCAGAUACCAGGCCCGCCAACGAUGCGGGCUUUUUUUU